AUCCGGGAUAGCUCAGUUGGUAGAGCAUGAGACUCUUAAUUUCAGGGUUGUGGGUUUGAGCCCUAUACUGGGUG
Molecule: transfer RNA, 74 nt
Filed under: Podarcis lilfordi (Lilford's wall lizard)
Lineage: Eukaryota; Metazoa; Chordata; Lepidosauria; Squamata; Lacertidae
Description: tRNA.Lys
Rfam family: tRNA (bases 9-66)
About the family: Transfer RNA (tRNA) molecules are approximately 80 nucleotides in length. Their secondary structure includes four short double-helical elements and three loops (D, anti-codon, and T loops).
Source: RNAcentral